UGGGAAACUGGGUCUAAUACCGGAUAUGACCUUACAUCGCAUGGUGUUUGGUGGAAAGCUUUUGCGGUUCAGGAUGGGCCCGCGGCCUAUCAGCUUGUUGGUGGGGUAAUGGCCUACCAAGGCGACGACGGGUAGCCGACCUGAGAGGGUGAUCGGCCACACUGGGACUGAGACACGGCCCAGACUCCUACGGGAGGCAGCAGUGGGGAAUAUUGCACAAUGGGCGCAAGCCUGAUGCAGCGACGCCGCGUGAGGGAUGACGGCCUUCGGGUUGUAAACCUCUUUCACCAGGGACGAAGCGUGAGUGACGGUACCUGGAGAAGAAGCACCGGCCAACUACGUGCCAGCAGCCGCGGUAAUACGUAGGGUGCGAGCGUUGUCCGGAAUUACUGGGCGUAAAGAGCUCGUAGGCGGUUUGUCGCGUCGUCUGUGAAAUUCUGCAACUCAAUUGUAGGCGUGCAGGCGAUACGGGCAGACUUGAGUACUACAGGGGAGACUGGAAUUCCUGGUGUAGCGGUGAAAUGCGCAGAUAUCAGGAGGAACACCGGUGGCGAAGGCGGGUCUCUGGGUAGUAACUGACGCUGAGGAGCGAAAGCGUGGGUAGCGAACAGGAUUAGAUACCCUGGUAGUCCACGCCGUAAACGGUGGGUACUAGGUGUGGGGCUCAUUUCACGAGUUCCGUGCCGUAGCUAACGCAUUAAGUACCCCGCCUGGGGAGUACGGCCGCAAGGCUAAAACUCAAAGGAAUUGA
Molecule: ribosomal RNA, 751 nt
Filed under: Gordonia rubripertincta
Lineage: Bacteria; Bacillati; Actinomycetota; Actinomycetes; Mycobacteriales; Gordoniaceae
Description: bacterial SSU rRNA
Rfam family: Bacterial small subunit ribosomal RNA
Source: RNAcentral